UGACAAGAAAUAACAAUACAGGACCUUACGGUUUUGUAAUUGGAAUGAGUUAAGUAUAAACCCCUUAACAAGUAUCAAUUGGAGGGCAAGUCUGGUGCCAGCAGCCGCGGUAAUUCCAGCUCCAAUAGCGUAUAUUAAAGUUGUUGCAGUUAAAAAGCUCGUAGUUAAUCUUCUGUUAAUUUUUAUAUAUAAUAUCUCGAUAUUUAUAUAAUAUUAACAUAAUUCAUAUUACUUUUUAGUAUAUGAAACUUUACUUUGAGAAAAUUAGAGUGCUUAAAGCAGG
Molecule: ribosomal RNA, 283 nt
Filed under: Cryptosporidium xiaoi
Lineage: Eukaryota; Apicomplexa; Conoidasida; Eucoccidiorida; Cryptosporidiidae
Description: partial 18S ribosomal RNA
Rfam family: Eukaryotic small subunit ribosomal RNA
Source: RNAcentral